CAGAGGGUUCUGACGGAUGCUUUUAUUAGACCAAACCGCUGGGAGUACCUAGCCUUUCUCUUGUAGAUUGGUGUUGGUGCUCUGCUCGGCCGGUGGUGACUCUGGAUAACCUUUCUUGACAAGCGCACGUACUCCUCCUUUGAGCGAGACGGCGCUGCCACUUUCGAGUGUCUGCCUUAUCAGCUAUCAACCGUUCGUUAUGCGCGACCGAUGGCUUUGACGGGUAACGGGGAAUCAGGGUUCGAUUCCGGAGAGGCAGCCUGAGAGACGGCUACCACGUCCAAGGACGGCAGCAGGCACGCAAAUUACCCAAUCCCAGCAAAUGGGGGAGGUAGUGACGAAAUCUAACGAUGCGGGCGCCCUAUCUGGGGCCCCGCAAUCGGAAUGGGCACUUCCUAAACAACCUGUUGAGAACCUACUGAAGGGCAAGUCUGGUGCCAGCAGCCGCGGUAAUUCCAGCUUCAGCAGCAUCUAUUAAAGUUGCUGCGGUUAAAAGGCUCGCAGUUGAAUGUCUGUAUCGAGCGCAGGAAGGUGGACGUUGGAGCGUGUUGCGGAUUACGGGGUUAUGUCUUGUGGCUCCGUGCUGCAGGCGUGCCUCUCAUGGUCUCACGCGUUCCCGUCCGUGACAAGCCUCCUCGCUUACGCAUGCAUAAAGGGAAUCCACUCAAACGCGCGUUGGUGUUGUGGGCUUCUCGCUUCCGGCUGUUGGGCGUCGUGGCUUCGUGCUCGGCCUCUUCAGUGCAGGAACGGGUUGUUCGCGUGCUUUCGUGCAGCGGUUUCAAAGUCACCCUGAGUAAAUCAGAGUGCUCAAAGCCAGUCGUAUGGACCUCGAGUCCUGUGAUGAAASCAGUCUUUCUGUCUGUUGACGGACUGACUUGGUUUUGCAUGGCAUGUCGAAAGACGACGUCGUKUGCUGGCUCAGAGUGAUUGACAGUGGUGCAAGCCAGCCUCGACGUAAUGAUUAAAAAGGGACGGUCGAGGGCAUUGGUAUUGCGAGGCGARAGGUGAAAUUCUGUGACCCCCGCAAGACCUCCUGAAGCGAAAGCGUCUGCCAAGGACGUUUUCAUUAAUCAUGGAACGAAAGUUAGAGGAUCGAAGGCGAUCAGAUACCGCCCUAGUUCUAACCCUAAACGAUGCCAACCAUCAAUCCGCGCGUAGCACCCUUCUUAACGGGCUCGGCGGGCAGCUCCCCUACUCACGGGAAACCAGAGCCUCUGGGUUCCGGGGGGAGUCUGGUUGCAAAGCUGAAACUUAAAGGAAUUGACGGAAAGGCACCACCAGGCGUGGAGCCUGCGGCUUAAUUUGACUCAACACGGGCCAUCUCACCAGGCCAGCACUCUUGCAUGAUUGACAGAUUGAGAGCUCUUUCUCGAUUCAGUGGAUGGUGGUGCAUGGCCGUUCUUAGUUGGUGGAGUGAUCUGUCUGGUUAAUUCCGAUAACGAACGAGACUCUCCCCUGCUAACUAGUCGGUUGGAUCUUGAUUCGUGAGUUGCGUCGCUCCUGGGCACACCCCUCUUUCGUGGCUACCGCCGCGUAGAGGUUCUAGGUACGCGAUCGUUUCGGCGUGUCGUUGUGCCUGACGGGCCAUGCGCGUGCGUGUGUGCGCGGUUGACGGAAGGAGCUCGGGUAGCAUCGUCGCACUCCAAGUCCGCCGCUUAUGCUAUGAAGGUCUUCUUAGAGGGAUUCACGGCACCGAAGCCGUCAGAGACUGAGAGCAAUAACAGGUCUGUGAUGCCCUUAGAUGCUCUGGGCCGCACGCGCGCUACAAUGCCGGGCACAGCAGGUGUUUCUCCUGCUCCGACAGGAGCGGGUAACCCUCUGAAAGUUCAAAUGGUUUGACGUCCUCUCUUCUCUUCUCGUGCGAACGAGGCAGAGGGAGUGUGACGAAAAGGCGUGCUUGGGCCUGGGGCUUGCAAUUCUCUUCCCACCAACGAGGAAUGCCUAGUAGCGGCGUCACUGAGC
This 1962-nucleotide ribosomal RNA is filed under the name Haustorius allardi. RNAcentral describes it as "bacterial SSU rRNA". It matches the Rfam family "Eukaryotic small subunit ribosomal RNA", at positions 187 to 1655 of the family's 1831-position model. Lineage: Eukaryota; Metazoa; Arthropoda; Malacostraca; Amphipoda; Haustoriidae. The record is from RNAcentral.